GGUGGUGCAGUUGGUAGCACUGUUGCCUUGCAACAAGAAGGUCCUGGGUUUGAUUCCCGGCGUCU
Crenichthys baileyi (White River springfish) is the source of this 65-nucleotide non-coding RNA. Lineage: Eukaryota; Metazoa; Chordata; Actinopteri; Cyprinodontiformes; Goodeidae. The record is from the annotation of a GenBank genome assembly.